This 222-nucleotide ribosomal RNA is filed under the name Triticum aestivum (bread wheat). RNAcentral's name for it is "partial small subunit ribosomal RNA". The record is from RNAcentral. Lineage: Eukaryota; Viridiplantae; Streptophyta; Magnoliopsida; Poales; Poaceae.
AUGCAAUGCGAUAACGGCGGCGAAUUUCUUACCACCUCCCUACGCGACCUCUUCUCCCGCUAUGGCGCCUCUCUUCGCCUCUCAUGCCCCCAUACAUCACCCCAAAAUGGAAAAGCCGAGCGCCUCCUCCGCAUGACAAAUGACAUUCUCCGCGUCCUCCUCAUACACGCCACACUACCCCCUGCCUUCUGGGUUGAGGCCCUCUACUGCCAUCGCCUCUGA